This 73-nucleotide transfer RNA is filed under the name Hofstenia miamia. RNAcentral describes it as "tRNA-Val for anticodon AAC". Lineage: Eukaryota; Metazoa; Xenacoelomorpha; Acoela; Hofsteniidae. The record is from RNAcentral.
GGCACCAUGUUGUAGUGGUUAUCACAUCUGCGUAACAAGCAGAAGGUCCCCAGUUCGUGCCUGGGUGGUUUCG